UACGGAGGGGGCUAGCGUUGUUCGGAAUUACUGGGCGUAAAGCGCACGUAGGCGGCUUUGCAAGUUAGAGGUGAAAGCCCGGAGCUUAACUCCGGAAUUGCCUUUAAAACUGCAUCGCUAGAAUUGUGGAGAGGUGAGUGGAAUUCCGAGUGUAGAGGUGAAAUUCGUAGAUAUUCGGAGGAACACCAGUGGCGAAGGCGGCUCACUGGCUCGAUACUGACGCUGAGGUGCGAAAGCGUGGGGAGCAAACAGG
Molecule: ribosomal RNA, 253 nt
Filed under: uncultured bacterium
Lineage: Bacteria
Description: partial 16S ribosomal RNA
Rfam family: Bacterial small subunit ribosomal RNA
Source: RNAcentral